CCUGAUCUCGUGAUCUGCCUGCCUCGGCCUCCCAAACUGCUAGGAUUAGAGGUGUGAGCCACCGCAUCCAGCCGACCCCAGGUUUUUAAGACCCCAAUUCCUCUUUGGCCCAACAUCUCCACACCGGAGCAAGAAGGAAAGCAAGCCCACACUCCAGGGACUAGCCAGCAGAGUGGGUGGAGGCUGCUCAGCAAAUGCGCACACCCCCACCUCAGUGACCAACCCACUGGACUUGCCUUCACAGUGGCCCUGUGCGGCUUCAGGCUCCUCCCACCCCAAGUCUCUAAGAUAAAACACAGUAUCUCCCCAAGCCCCUUGGGGAGAGUAAAAGUGGAGAAACAUCUUGGAGCCUAGGAGAGGCUGGAAGAGGGUGGUUGGGGAGCUGCCCAUGGUGGGAGGAUUCCCAGGACACAUGGGUAGCAAUUAGCCUGUUGUCCUCAGCCCUCACUAGACCUAGGUUGGGAGGUCCUAGACCCUCUCCUAGGCCCCCGUGCACCUGGAUUCAGUUGGAUCUUGGGAAAGGAAGGGUUAAGGUUGGGGCCUAAUCAGGGACUGGAAUGCCAUUGAUAUGGAAAAGUGGGGGCCCCUUGGUGUGGUUACCAUCUCAAUGGCACUUUAACACCUCCAGCGAAGUCCCCUCCCCCAUCCACCACGUCUGGGAAAAGAGGUGGGGGAGGGGAACCUUCCCCACUGUACUACCCUGGGAGGAAAGGAAGCCGGCUCUCCACCAGUCCCUUCCUGGAGCGACAAAAUGGACCUCGUUUUUGUUCCGUCUAGGAGGAAAGAGGGGCAGGGAGGCUCAGGUGGGCAGAAGAAACCAGAGAUCAGCUUAGAUAGGGUCGAAGUGGGUUAACCCGCGCCUCUUAGAGGGGGAAGUGUGGCCUGACCACAAAGGAAAGGAAGGAAGUUACCAGGAGCUACCAUGCGCCAGGAACAGUGCGGGGGUGGGUGUGGGGGCAGCACACUAAGAACCCCAAGGGCAGAGUCACCCACUGCGCCCGGAGGAGCCAAGACCCAGAUCUUACAGGUAGAGAAGCUGGUCCCCUAGCUCCCAAACCAAAAGGUGCAGCUAAAUCUCGGUGUUGCAGCUGUCACCCUCACGGGCUCACUGCCCACCUUCACAGACAGGAACAAGCUCAGGGAGCUGAGCGAACCUGACCAAGUGCACAGCGGGAAGCAGGACACACCUGACACCAACCCAGACCCUGACUUUGGAGCUAGCCCCCCUAGGUGGGCUAAGAGAGCCUCCUGAACCUCUUUCCCGACAGGGCAGCGGGGCAGGGCCUCUCCUUCUUCUGGGCCUCCCAAGCACCAUCCCGUUCCUCCUUGUCCCAAAUUCUUCGAGGCUCCCAGUACAGGGAAACCUCUGCAGAAAACUGCAUUUGGAUCUGAUUACGGAAGAGGCCCCCUCCACCAGCUGGCUCACUCUCAUUGCCAUGUCCCUGGCAAGGGAAGUGCCCUUUGCUCCCCACUUGCAGGGGGCAGCGGGCUGGACUCCCAGAACCUCAUGCGAGCCCCACCCCAGGGCUCCCUGGGCAAGUCACAGCUGCCCAAACCUCAGGUGCUCCUGGCUGUAAAGCAGAGAGGAGACAGCUCUGCUUCAACCCUGGCACAUCCCUGGACUGGCACCUUGGGGAUCGAGGUUUCAGGCGGGUCCUACCUUCAACGACAAUCCAACCUCUUACAACAUAAAAACAGGGAGAUUGGAGACAGACAUGGGGAGAAGGCCAUGUGAAGACGGAGGCAGGAACUCCUGUGAUGCGGCCACAAGCCACAGAGGGCCUGGAGCCACCAGGAGCUGGAAGAGGCAGGAGGGAUCCUCCCCUAGCACCUGUGAAGGGAACAGGGUCCUGCCCACACCUUUAUUUUUGACUUUUGGCCUCCAGAAUUGUAACGAAUACAUUUCUGUUGUUUGAA
Molecule: long non-coding RNA, 1917 nt
Filed under: Homo sapiens (human)
Lineage: Eukaryota; Metazoa; Chordata; Mammalia; Primates; Hominidae
Description: HSALNT0384157
Source: RNAcentral